Molecule: ribosomal RNA, 538 nt
Filed under: uncultured fungus
Lineage: Eukaryota; Fungi
Description: eukaryotic LSU rRNA
Rfam family: 5.8S ribosomal RNA (bases 165-318)
Source: RNAcentral
AAGUCGUAACAAGGUUUCCGUAGGUGAACCUGCGGAAGGAUCAUUAUUGAAUUUGGGUUUCCAUAUUCUUACACCUGUGCACUUUUUGUAGGCCAAUUUAUUUGGUCUAUGUCUUUUUAAUAACACAUCUUUGUAACUGUGAAUGGAAAUGGGAUAAAUAAUACAACUUUCAACAACGGAUCUCUUGGCUCUCGCAUCGAUGAAGAACGCAGCGAAAUGCGAUAAGUAAUGUGAAUUGCAGAAUUCAGUGAAUCAUCAAAUCUUUGAACGCACCUUGCGCUCCUUGGUAUUCCGAGGAGCAUGCCUGUUUGAGUGUCAUUAAAUUCUCAAAAGUCUUUCUUUUAAGACUUUUUGGACUUGGAGUGUUUGCUGGCUUCAUCCAAGUCAGCUCCUCUUAAAUGCAUUAGCUUGUGCUCUGUGGAUUAGGCUUUGGUUUGAUAGUAUCUAUGCCAUCGCUUUUGAAACAAAUAGUCAGCUUCUAACAACCAUCCUCUGACAUUUUGACCUCAAAUCAGGUAGGACUACCCGCUGAACUUAA